RNAcentral lists this long non-coding RNA (334 nucleotides) under Sorghum bicolor (sorghum). RNAcentral's name for it is "long non-coding RNA (SBIC_LNC010260)". The record is from RNAcentral. Lineage: Eukaryota; Viridiplantae; Streptophyta; Magnoliopsida; Poales; Poaceae.
UAUGUAACUGCUGCAUUACUCAUUUAACUGGAAGCGAUAAAAAGAAGAAAGGAGGAAUGUUAUUUUCCAGUAGCUGCUGCACUGGGUACAUAAGGACUACCCAUUUUUUUUCCUUUAUAGAACAGUCAGGAUAAAUUAAAUCUAAAACAAAUUAUGGAUAUGUAACAAUUGUUCAUCUAACUGGAACUAUAUAAAGGACUUACCGGAUAUUACAUCAUUUAACUGGAAGUUACAUAUCACAUAAGGGACUUAAUAGGCAGUACAUCUAAAAACUUAGUAUAGAGAUUUACACUUGUAUGGCUCUAGUUCAUGGUGUCACCAAAGGCUGGCCAAC